AGUUUGAUCCUGGCUCAGAACGAGCGCUGGCGGCAGGCUUAACACAUGCAAGUCGAACGCAUCACAAGAUGAGUGGCAGAGGGGUGAGUAACGCGUGGGAAUCUACCCAUCCCUGCGGAAUAGCUCUGGGAAACUGGAAUUAAUACCGCAUACGCCCUACGGGGGAAAGAUUUAUCGGGGAUGGAUGAGCCCGCGUUGGAUUAGCUAGUUGGUGGGGUAAAGGCCUACCAAGGUGACGAUCCAUAGCUGGUCUGAGAGGAUGAUCAGCCACAUUGGGACUGACACACGGCCCAAACUCCUACGGGAGGCAGCAGUGGGGAAUAUUGGACAAUGGGCGCAAGCCUGAUCCAGCCAUGCCGCGUGAGUGAUGAAGGCCUUAGGGUUGUAAAGCUCUUUCACCGGUGAAGAUAAUGACGGUAACCGGAGAAGAAGCCCCGGCUAACUUCGUGCCAGCAGCCGCGGUAA
RNAcentral lists this ribosomal RNA (465 nucleotides) under uncultured bacterium. Its description in RNAcentral is "bacterial SSU rRNA". It matches the Rfam family "Bacterial small subunit ribosomal RNA", at positions 10 to 523 of the family's 1533-position model. The record is from RNAcentral.